AUGCGGGUGGAUCACCUCCUGGAGAGUUGGAUCUUGCUUCCUUUUGCUGCGUCAUAUCCCGGGGAAACUUGUGCUAAUACCGUAUGUGGCCUUCGGGAGAAAGAUUUAUCGGCAAGAGAUGAGCCCGCGUUGGAUUAGCUAGUUGGUGGGGUAAAGGCCUACCAAGGCGACGAUCCAUAGCUGGUCUGAGAGGAUGAUCAGCCACAUUGGGACUGAGACACGGCCCAAACUCCUACGGGAGGCAGCAGUGGGGAAUAUUGGACAAUGGGCGCAAGCCUGAUCCAGCCAUGCCGCGUGAGUGAUGAAGGCCCUAGGGUUGUAAAGCUCUUUCACCGGAGAAGAUAAUGACGGUAUCCGGAGAAGAAGCCCCGGCUAACUUCGUGCCAGCAGCCGCGGUAAUACGAAGGGGGCUAGCGUUGUUCGGAAUUACUGGGCGUAAAGCGCACGUAGGCGGAUCGAUCAGUCAGGGGUGAAAUCCCAGGGCUCAACCCUGGAACUGCCUUUGAUACUGUCGAUCUGGAGUAUGGAAG
Molecule: ribosomal RNA, 530 nt
Filed under: Rhizobium sp. PjFA26
Lineage: Bacteria; Pseudomonadati; Pseudomonadota; Alphaproteobacteria; Hyphomicrobiales; Rhizobiaceae
Description: bacterial SSU rRNA
Rfam family: Bacterial small subunit ribosomal RNA
Source: RNAcentral